GACGAACGCUGGCGGCGCGCUUAACACAUGCCAGUCGAGCGAGCUAACUUUAACAGUACCCUUCGCGGCGAGGAUAAAGGGGAUUAACGGCUGACGGGUUAGUAACACGUGAGUAAUCUGCCUUAGACAUUGGGAUAGCUUCGGUAAACGGGGAUCAAUGCCAAAUAAAAUCAUAAUGACACAUGUCAUCACGUUCAAAACUCCUGUGUUCGAGGAUGGACUCGCGUCCCAAUAGUUAGUUGGUAGAGUAAAAGCCUACCAAGGCGACGAUGGGUAGCCGGUCUGAGAGGAUGAGCAGCCACAUUGGAACUGAGACACGGUCCAGACUCCUACGGGAGGCAGCAGUGGGGAAUAUUGCACAAUGGAGGGAACUCUGAUGCAGCCACGCCGCGUGAACGAAGAAGGCUUUCGAGUCGUAAAGUUCUUUUAUAUGGGAAGAUAAUGACGGUACCCUAAGAAAAAGCCCCGGCUAACUACGUG
RNAcentral lists this ribosomal RNA (480 nucleotides) under uncultured bacterium. Its description in RNAcentral is "partial 16S ribosomal RNA". It matches the Rfam family "Bacterial small subunit ribosomal RNA", at positions 28 to 507 of the family's 1533-position model. The record is from RNAcentral.